CCCUUAGACGUUCUGGGCCGCACGCGCGCUACACUGACAAAGGCAACGAGCUACUCUUCACCGAAAGGUGUGGGUAAUCUUUUGAAACUUUGUCGUGCUGGGGAUAGAUCCUUGCAAUUUUUGAUCUUAAACGAGGAAUUCCCAGUAAGCGCAAGUCAUCAACUUGCGUUGAUUACGUCCCUGCCCUUUGUACACACCGCCCGUCGCUACUACCGAUUGAAUGGUUUAGUGAGGCCUUCGGAUCCGCGACUCGUUUGUGGAGAAGUUGGACAAACUCAGUCAUUUAGAGGAAGUAAAAGUCGUAACA
RNAcentral lists this ribosomal RNA (307 nucleotides) under uncultured eukaryote. Its description in RNAcentral is "partial 18S ribosomal RNA". It matches the Rfam family "Eukaryotic small subunit ribosomal RNA", at positions 1470 to 1796 of the family's 1831-position model. The record is from RNAcentral.